UAUAUCACACUCCAAACUUUUUCUGUACAACACAGAACGUCACACGGCAAAAUUGAGAUACAGAUAGUCCUUCGACAUUGCAUCAGUUUUAACUCUAGUCUGUGCUUAAAUUACUGCGGUAUAUGUUUCUGGUUGUCUGUCCCCGUAUACGAACUAGCUGCAGAAGUAACAUUGGGAUCCCACGCCCGACGAGUUUGCAUUUGUAGGAAGAGCAAGCCAGAAGGUUCGUUAUGGCAACGACUACUGCCUACAAAGUCUUCUGAUGAAGUAGCAGAGCUAAUUUACAACAGCCCGACGGGCAUUUUCUGGUAUUACAUUACCUGGAUCUCCUCAAUAAUCUACAGCUU
This 347-nucleotide long non-coding RNA is filed under the name Triticum aestivum (bread wheat). Its description in RNAcentral is "long non-coding RNA (TAES_LNC012484)". Lineage: Eukaryota; Viridiplantae; Streptophyta; Magnoliopsida; Poales; Poaceae. The record is from RNAcentral.